UACGGAGGAUCCAAGCGUUAUCCGGAUUCAUUGGGUUUAAAGGGUGCGUAGGCGGACUUAUAAGUCAGUGGUGAAAUCCUGCAGCUUAACUGCAGAACUGCCAUUGAUACUGUAAGUCUUGAGUGUGUUUGAAGUGGGCGGAAUGUGUCAUGUAGCGGUGAAAUGCUUAGAUAUGACACAGAACACCGAUUGCGUAGGCAGCUCACUAAGCCACAACUGACGCUGAGGCACGACAGCGUGGGGAUCAAACAGG
Molecule: ribosomal RNA, 253 nt
Filed under: uncultured bacterium
Lineage: Bacteria
Description: partial 16S ribosomal RNA
Rfam family: Bacterial small subunit ribosomal RNA
Source: RNAcentral